Molecule: long non-coding RNA, 230 nt
Filed under: Lathyrus oleraceus (garden pea)
Lineage: Eukaryota; Viridiplantae; Streptophyta; Magnoliopsida; Fabales; Fabaceae
Description: Pisum sativum (pea) long non-coding RNA (PSAT_LNC037394)
Source: RNAcentral
AAGUAUUUAAUUUAAUUUAGUUUAUUAUGUGUUAAUUAAUUUUAUUUAGUAUAUUAAUUUAAUUUAUUUUGUUUAUUAUGUUUUAAUUUAUUUUAUUUAGUUAAUUUAUAGUAUUAAUUUUAUACUAUUGUUGGAUUCACGAGUAUUUUCCAAAACUUGGAAAAAGAGGAGAAAUUUUGAAAUCAGUUGGUAAUUGUGGUCUUCCUCGAGCGAUGAGAUGGUCCUAAAAG